RNAcentral lists this ribosomal RNA (496 nucleotides) under uncultured bacterium. RNAcentral describes it as "partial 16S ribosomal RNA". It matches the Rfam family "Bacterial small subunit ribosomal RNA", at positions 29 to 507 of the family's 1533-position model. The record is from RNAcentral.
AUGCACGCUGGCGGCGUGCCUAAUACAUGCAAGUCGCGCGAACGGACGAGAAGCUUGCUUCUCUGAUGUUAGCGGCGGACGGGUGAGUAACACGUGGAUAACCUACCUAUAAGACUGGGAUAACUUCGGGAAACCGUAGCUAAUACCGGAUAAUAUUUUGAACCGCAUGGUUCAAAAGUGAAAGACGGUCUUGCUGUCACUUAUAGAUGGAUCCGCGCUGCAUUAGCUAGUUGGUAAGGUAACGGCUUACCAAGGCAACGAUGCAUAGCCGACCUGAGAGGGUGAUCGGCCACACUGGAACUGAGACACGGUCCAGACUCCUACGGGAGGCAGCAGUAGGGAAUCUUACGCAAUGGGCGAAAGCCUGACGGAGCAACGCCGCGUGAGUGAUGAAGGUCUUCGGAUCGUAAAACUCUGUUAUUAGGGAAGAACAUAUGUGUAAGUAACUGUGCACAUCUUGACGGUACCUAAUCAGAAAGCCACGGCUAACUACGUG